RNAcentral lists this ribosomal RNA (1182 nucleotides) under uncultured organism. Its description in RNAcentral is "bacterial SSU rRNA". It matches the Rfam family "Bacterial small subunit ribosomal RNA", at positions 193 to 1346 of the family's 1533-position model. The record is from RNAcentral.
CUUUUCAAUUAAAGGUGACCUCUUCUUUUGAAAGUUACCGUUUGGAGAUGACCUUGCGGCCCAUUAGCUUGUUGGUGAGGUAACGGCCCACCAAGGCUUCGAUGGGUAGCCGGCCUGAGAGGGUGAACGGCCACAUUGGGACUGAGAUACGGCCCAGACUCCUACGGGAGGCAGCAGUAGGGAAUUUUGCGCAAUGGACGAAAGUCUGACGCAGCAACGCCGCGUGAGCGAUGAAGGUUUUCGGAUCGUAAAGCUCUGUUGGGUGGGACGAAACGUUUCGAGGUUAAUAUCCUCGAGAUCUGACGGUACCAUUCGAGGAAGCUCCGGCCAACUACGUGCCAGCAGCCGCGGUAAUACGUAGGGAGCAAGCGUUGUUCGGAAUCACUGGGCGUACAGGGAGUGUACGCGGAAAGGCAAGUCAGAAGUGUAAUCUACGGGCUCAACCCGUAGCUCGCUUUUGAUACUGCUUUUCUUGAGUAGUUGGAGAGGGAAACGGAAUUCCAGGUGUAGCGGUGGAAUGCGUAGAAUAUCUGGAAGAACACCAGUAGCGAAGGCGGUUUCCUGGCAACAUUCGGACUCUGAGGCUCUAAAGCGUGGGGAGCAUACAGGAUUAGAUACCCUGGUAGUACACGCCGUAUACGAUGGCAUUAUGAUAUCGGGGAAUCAUUUUCUUCGUGUCCGCAGUAUACGCGAUAAGUUCCCCUCCUGGGUAGUACGCUGCUAAGGGUGAUACUCAAAGGAAUUGACGGGGUCCCGCACAAUCGGUGGAGCAUGCGCUGUUAUUCGAUGCUACGCGUAGAACCUUACCUGGGCUUGACAUGGGAGUGAUACUUCCCAGAGAUGGGAAGCCUUCCUUCGGGAACACUCUACACAGGUGCUGCAUGGUUGUCGUCAGCUCGUGUCGUGAGAUGUUGGGUUAAGUCCCGCAACGAGCGCAACCCUCGCCCUUAGUUGCCAUCAGGUAAUGCUGGGAACUCUAGGGGGACCGCCUGGAACAACCAGGAGGAAGGUGGGGAUGAUGUCAAAUCAUCAUGGCUCUUACGUCCAGGGCUAUACGCGUGCUACAAUGGUCGGUACAGAAGGAUGCCAAGUCGCGAGACCGAGCUAAUCCAUUAAAACCGGCCUCAGUUCGGAUUGGAGUCUGCAAUUCGACUCCAUGAAGUUGGAUCGCUAGUGAUCGCG